Molecule: ribosomal RNA, 474 nt
Filed under: uncultured organism
Description: partial 16S ribosomal RNA
Rfam family: Bacterial small subunit ribosomal RNA
Source: RNAcentral
GUACACUCCUACGGGAGGCAGCAGUGGGGAAUUUUGGACAAUGGGCGAAAGCCUGAUCCAGCAAUGCCGCGUGUGUGAAGAAGGCCUUCGGGUUGUAAAGCACUUUUGUCCGGAAAGAAAUCCUUGGCUCUAAUACAGUCGGGGGAUGACGGUACCGGAAGAAUAAGCACCGGCUAACUACGUGCCAGCAGCCGCGGUAAUACGUAGGGUGCGAGCGUUAAUCGGAAUUACUGGGCGUAAAGCGUGCGCAGGCGGUUUGCUAAGACCGAUGUGAAAUCCCCGGGCUCAACCUGGGAACUGCAUUGGUGACUGGCAGGCUAGAGUAUGGCAGAGGGGGGUAGAAUUCCACGUGUAGCAGUGAAAUGCGUAGAGAUGUGGAGGAAUACCGAUGGCGAAGGCAGCCCCCUGGGCCAAUACUGACGCUCAUGCACGAAAGCGUGGGGAGCAAACAGGAUUAGAUACCCGGGUAGUCCC